Long non-coding RNA from Thalassophryne amazonica, 97 nucleotides. RefSeq lists it as uncharacterized. NCBI's taxonomy places the organism in Eukaryota, Metazoa, Chordata, Actinopteri, Batrachoidiformes, Batrachoididae. The transcript has 3 exons. The record is from RefSeq and is a predicted model, not a curated record.
CAUAGUCAAUUCAGAUUAGUCAUCCCAACAUUAUUCAUCUAAUCACUGUUUCAUAUCGACGGCUAAACUUGUAGAUUGGCUGCCUUACAUUAGUUGA